Molecule: non-coding RNA, 72 nt
Organism: Saccharothrix sp. NRRL B-16348
Lineage: Bacteria; Bacillati; Actinomycetota; Actinomycetes; Pseudonocardiales; Pseudonocardiaceae
Source: Rfam
CUUGACCGAUCCCAGCCACAGCGGGUCGCUCGCGGUGCGGCGGCCGUAGGUGGCCAGCAGCGCCUGUGCUUC